GCAUAUCAAUAAGCGGAGGAAAAGAAACCAACAGGGAUUGCCUCAGUAACGGCGAGUGAAGCGGCAAGAGCUCAAAUUUGAAAGCUGGCUCCUUCGGGGUCCGCAUUGUAAUUUGCAGAGGAUGCUUCGGGAGUGGCCCCCAUCUAAGUGCCCUGGAACGGGCCGUCAUAGAGGGUGAGAAUCCCGUCUGGGAUGGGGUGUCCACGCCCGUGUGAAGCUCCUUCGACGAGUCGAGUUGUUUGGGAAUGCAGCUCUAAAUGGGUGGUAAAUUUCAUCUAAAGCUAAAUACUGGCCGGAGACCGAUAGCGCACAAGUAGAGUGAUCGAAAGAUGAAAAGCACUUUGAAAAGAGAGUUAAACAGCACGUGAAAUUGUUGAAAGGGAAGCGCUUGCGACCAGACUCGCCCACGGGGUUCAGCCGGCAUUCGUGCCGGUGUACUUCCCCGCGGGCGGGCCAGCGUCGGUUUGGGCGGCCGGUCAAAGGCCCUCGGAAUGUAACGCCCCCCGGGGCGUCUUAUAGCCGAGGGUGCCAUGCGGCCAGCCCGGACCGAGGAACGCGCUUCGGCUCGGACGCUGGCAUAAUGGUCGUAAGCGACCCGUCUUGAAACACGGACCAAGGAGUCUAACAUCUACGCGAGUGUUCGGGUGUCAAACCCGUGCGCGCAGUGAAAGCGAACGGAGGUGGGAACCCCUCGGGGUGCACCAUCGACCGAUCCUGAUGUCUUCGGAUGGAUUUGAGUAAGAGCGUAGCUGUUGGGACCCGAAAGAUGGUGAACUAUGCCUGAAUAGGGCGAAGCCAGAGGAAACUCUGGUGGAGGCUCGCAGCGGUUCUGACGUGCAAAUCGAUCGUCAAAUUUGGGUAUAGGGGGCGAAAAGACUAAUCGAACCAUCUAGUAGCUGGUUUCCUGCCGAAG
RNAcentral lists this ribosomal RNA (913 nucleotides) under Penicillium iriense. RNAcentral's name for it is "LSU rRNA". It matches the Rfam family "Eukaryotic large subunit ribosomal RNA", at positions 38 to 966 of the family's 3401-position model. The record is from RNAcentral. Lineage: Eukaryota; Fungi; Ascomycota; Eurotiomycetes; Eurotiales; Aspergillaceae.